This is a long non-coding RNA of Heterocephalus glaber (naked mole-rat), 2782 nucleotides long. Lineage: Eukaryota; Metazoa; Chordata; Mammalia; Rodentia; Bathyergidae. The record is from Ensembl.
GGUCAGUUUCACAAGUUGAAGUACGUGUGGACGUGUGGCCCACAGAAUUGUGUUGAUGCUUUUAAUUUAUUGUGUCUACUAUGAAAAACAAAGCCCAACUCAAUAGCAAAGAAGGCCGAGUCAGGGAGGGUAGAGCAGAGGCUUCCAGGCUGACCUGGCCCAUGGUCACUGAGGCCCUGCCCAGAAGCAAGGCCCUGUGCGCACUGAGCCUGUGAGGACCUGGCCGGCUGAACGCGCUGUGGGAGCCCUGGAGGGACGGGGUUCAGGCGGCAUGGGCUGCAUCCUGGGGCAGCGUGAAGUCGCCCCGUUUGCCCACUGUUUGGGAAGCCUUUAUGGGAAAAUGACAGAAUAAUGCGCACGUGGCCUUCAGGAGCCCGAGCUCAGCAAGCUCAGCAGACCCUCCGCAGGUGCUGCUGGGGACAGGAAACGGUGGAGACACCAUGGCCCGCGUGCCUCAUCUGUCAGGCGCUCUUGGCUUCACAGCAGACAGGAGACCCUCUAAGCAGACAGAAGACGACGAGGCCCCCGUGGAGGGCGCUCUUGAGCAGCAGCAGGAGUACUGUAAUGUAUAACAGCAGAAAACUACAACAAAAUCAGCAAAAAUGACAGAACUGUACUGUACAAGAAGCCACCCCAUAAGGUUGCACUGCCACUCACGUUCCUGCAUCAGAAGUCUGAAUGCAAGUCACAAGUCCAAGCAGCAGGCCAUAAGUCCAAACAGGAGAAGUGCAUGCUGAGUAGGCUCCAUAAGCUGAAGGUACAGGCCUUCUGCAUGUUUGAGCAGCCACUGGCUUUGCAGCCCAGCCUGGCUGCUCCACAAGGUGGUGACUGCAGCAAAUUCAUUACAGGCCAGUAUGAAGGCAAUGCCCAGAACUCCUACCUGUAAGGAUGGCAGUGCCGAAGCUAGAAGAGAUAAAGACUCCAUGAGGGCUUGGAUCAAUGCCUGGGCCCUGUGAUUUGAAAUGGAAUAGCAUCCUCAUUCCAGAAAGAGAAGGCUGCCUUCAAGGUGAGACAAACCUCCAAGUCCAGCACACAGCACUCAACAUGCCACAUGGUAGAUGGCAUCCAAGGGACAGAGAUUUUUCCCUGAAGAAGGAGAAUAUGGGAUUUCCCACGGACCCCUGAAAAAAAAAAAGAACCAGUUCCUUUCGGAUUACCCAGAUCUUAAUUUACUACUUGAAAUCACUCUCUGUGAUUUGUUGGUUAUAGAUUGUCUAAAAUUAGGUCUCAAAGUUAAAUAUGAGGGUUGUCUUCAAGAUAUUUUAUGGGUUAUCCUGAAACCGGUGCCUGAUUUCUUUUUGGGUUUUGCUUGGGGUUUUACAAAAUUUCUUUUUCUUUAUUUAAUUGGUGUAUGUUUGUUUGCUUGUUUUUUUAACCUUAGUUUUCCCAUUUUUCUGGCAUAUUUUUUAAGUGCACUGCAUACUAUUAUCACUUGCCAGGCAUGGUGUAUAGUUUUACAUAGUUAUUGUUUUGCAUAUGUAUUGCUUCUUUAUUCCCUUCCCUCCUGGGUGCCCACUGUACUGUCUUUGACACAUGUCCUUAGAGCCUCUGCCUCUGCGAAUGAACUCAGUGUGAUGGGUGAAUAAUACAUUUGUAAUCCCUGUCUACAGCGUACAUUUCUGCCUGUUCAUGUCUGGAUUCCUGUCAGCGCUUUGCUCCACAGCUGGCAGUCACUGCAUCCUCUUCUUCCAAAGCCUGGUGUGCUCAUAGGUGUUUUUUUUUUUUUGUACCAGGGAUUGAACUCGGGUUCUUGCAGUUGUGGAUCAGGCAGCAGAACCACUGAGCUAAAUCCCCGGCCCUAGGUGGGGUUUUUGAAAGGUGAUUGGACCAUGGCACACUGUUACUAACCGUGCCGCGAGGGAAUGAGGGCCUGGAUGGAAGAGGUGGUCAUAGAGCUGUGACCUUGGAGAAUGUGUCUCCCUCCCUGAGCCUCCCCUUCUUCCUUUGCUUCCUGGGCACCAUGAGGUGAGCAGCUUUCCUCCACAGCAGACCCUUCCACUAGGCCCUUCUCCAUUACAGCCAGAUGUCUGUGAACUGAGAACUCUAAAGUCAGUGAGCCCAAAACAUCCUCUCCUCUUAAGGUUGUAGGUGUUGGGUACUUUGUCCCAGCAACAAGAAAAGUGACUAAGAAUGAGUACUUUGCUGUCACCAGCAGAGCUGUGACAGACACCUCACGAGGUUCCUUACAACCAGUGUAAGCCUUUCCCUGGGAAUGUAAGGCUAGGAUUGAUGGUUGGGGGACACACACACACACACACACACACACACACACACACACUCCUUUUCACUAUGUGCUGCCAGUGCUAUGAUAUUAUCUGGAAUUUUAACUUUUGCCAACUAGAUGGCUGUCAAGCAAGAUCUCACUGUUUUAAUAGGCAGUGAUAUGAUUAUGAGGAAGCUGAGGGUCAUUUUUAAUGGCUAGUCUGUUUUGCAGCAUUUCCUUCAGCUUCCUGCCUAUUUGAGUUCUUUAUAUACAGCUCUGGGUAGCAGAGCUGGAGUUCCAGCCAGUUGGCCUGGGAUAUACAUAGCCUGGCACUGCCAUUCAUGCAACCCAAGCAAGUUGCUUUCCAUCGUGGUCCCCUAGCUUCCUCAACUGUAAUAAGUAAAAACAGUUAAGUUCCUUAUAUGUUUGUGAAGAUUAAGUGAAUUAAAACCUAUAGAAUACUUAAAGGGCCAGACAAGUUAUAAAUAUGCAACAAAUAUUAUUAAAUUCACCAUUCCUAUUGGUUUAUUAAUAUUAUAUAUAAAUUAAUGUUAAUAUAUACUAUAAAUGUAAUUGUGG